RNAcentral lists this ribosomal RNA (310 nucleotides) under uncultured eukaryote. Its description in RNAcentral is "partial 18S ribosomal RNA". It matches the Rfam family "Eukaryotic small subunit ribosomal RNA", at positions 1470 to 1796 of the family's 1831-position model. The record is from RNAcentral.
CCCUUAGAUGUUCUGGGCUGCACGCGUGCUACACUGAUUAUUUCAACAAGUGUUUUAACUGGAGAGUUCGCGUAAUCCUGAAAUGUUAUUGUGAUGGGAGUAGAGUAUUGUAUUUGUUAAUCUUUAACGAGGAAUUCCUAGCAAGUGUAGGUUUAUAAGUUGUUCUGAUUACGUCCCUGCCCUUUGUACACACCGCCCGUCGCUCCUACCGAUUGAUUGAUCCGGUGAAUUACAUAGAAUUUUGCGUUUUACAUGACGGAAGACGAAGUGUUUUAAACCUUAUCAUUUAGAGGAAGGAGAAGUCGUAACA